AUGGAGCACGGACGAGAUGAGCAAGCAGAAGAGGUGUUGGGGGACAUAAUCUUAGCCGGAGGUGAUAUCUUGUCGUAUCUUAACGACAAUGAUGGUCUGGAAGAACAGGGUGAAGAAGCAGGCUGCGGUGAUCGAAGAGUGGAGGAGGAAAGACAUGAUUAUGAUGGCUCCGGUGACCCAAUGCUGGUGCAAGAAGGAGCCCGUGGUGACGGCUCCGGUGACCGAACAGAGUCCGGCCAGCCCUCCGGAUCGAGCACAACUGCGGUAAAGAGACGAGGCCCGAAGAGAAAGUUGCGCUCGGAUGAAAGGUUUGAGAUCACAGCAAUCGCGCGUGACGGCCAACCGAUUGAACCCAUCCGGACAAAGGAUGCAUUUGCUGCUCAGUGCGGGGUUCUAGUUAGGGACAAGAUCCCGAUCAGCAUCCACCAAUGGUAUAAGCCUAAGAAGGAAGACCCUGAGGUGUCUUAUGUCAAUGAUAUGCAGAAAGAUGAUCUUUGGACUGAGCUGAAGGCAAAUUUCACCCUACCGCCAGAGGAGGAUCCGGAGAAGCCAAUUAAAGAGCAAUUAAUCAAGUCUCAUGCUCUUAAGAAGAUGGCAGACCUAUUCAGGAGGUGGAAGAAUGAGCUGAAAACGUUUGUCGACAAAGAAGAGACACCUGAAUUCAUCGGCCGGUAUGAGAAGAUCAGAGAUCACUGGCCCGCAUUUGUGGCCCACAAGACAUCGGAAAAGAGUAAGAAGAUGUCAGCGACAAACAAGAUGAAUGCUGCGAAGAAGAAGCUUCACCAUCGCACGGGGUCAGGUGGCUACCUCAAAGCCCGGCCUAAGUGGGCCAAGUCUGAGAGGGAUCUGCUUGAUAAAGGGAUCGAACCACAGACAAUGAACUGGCCAGACCGUUGCCGGACUUGGUUCUUCGGGGCUGGCGGAACCUUGGACCCUGUAUCAGGGAGGUGUCGUUGGACGGACGAGCAACUUGCAAUACCCGUCAAGAAGAUUCAGCACUAUAUCGAUGCAGCGCAGCAAGGGACGUUCAUUCCAGACAGAGAGAACGACGAGCUCACAAUGGCCCUCGGGAAUCCUGAGCAUCCUGGACGGACACGAGGCACGCCAGGCUCCGUUCCGUGGAAGGCUGGUUUUCCGGACGCGGGCGGUUACAAAACCAAAGAGAGGAGGAAAAAAGUGGAGCAGAUCCAAAUUCAGCGUCUGCACGAAAGGGUUCAAGUGCUAGAGGAACGAGACAGCAAUAGAGAUGCCGAAACUGCCCCCGAAGCUACACCGCCAUCUCAGCGUAGAAGCAGCGUGGCUUCCACCGAGCUGCCCCAGCUGGAGCAUGCGGCUACUCCUAGCUACCCCGUGGAUGCUAUCACGGAGUCUCAACAUUGCCACCUUAUGGCGGAAUGGCAGAACUUGAAAGUCAAGGCGGCUGUUGGCUCUGUUUUACCUACUGAACCCGGCGCAACCUACCACUGCCGGCCGAUUCCUGAAGGAUAUGCUAGGGUGAUGGUGGAUGAAAUAACGGAGGGAUUUGAGGACCUCCAGCUUGACCACCCUACCGGUGAAGGGGAGACUCGGCUGGGUUUAGCUCUGAAGACUCCAUGCCUAUGGCGGAAGGAGCUCAUCAAGCUUCCGAACUGGACGGCUCCGGCGAGUAAGGGCACUCCGCCUCCUCCUCCGCCUCCUCCUCCGGCGAGUGAUCAGGGCACUCAGCCUCCUUCUCCGGUGCGUGGCGGCACUCCGCCUCCUUCUCCGCCAGCGCCGGCGCGCCAGAGCAGCCAGCCUCCUCCUUCUCCGCCUCGUCAGCAAGGGCGGAAGAGACCCGCCACUGCUGCGGCUGCUCCGGCGCGUCGUAGUCCUUCUCCUCCGCCUCGUAAGCAAGGAAAGAAGACAGCCGCAGCCGCUCCGUCUGCUCUGUCAGCGUCUAGCAGUACAGCUGCCAGAGGCGGGAGGCAAUACAGAUUCGGUCCUUCUGUGAAGACUCCAGAGAAGUUACCAUAUGAGAGGACCGAGGAGGAGAACGCGAAGAUCGUGCGAGCCGAAGUGAAAAACUUCUUUGAAGGGGACAAAGCAAAGAAACAUCCACCUCCGGAGGAGAAGGUAGAUCCGGUGAAAGCAAAGCGCACUCUGGCUGCCCUGACAAAACCACCAAAGUCUCCGCCAAAAGGCAACUAUGAGCGCGUUCUUGCAAAGGCAUAUGCCGAAGCGGAGCGGUCGGGAAGUACUGUCAGUGAUAAAAGGAUGAAAGAGCGACGAGCUGGGAAAAAAAUUGCCCAGCUCGGCGAACAAGAGAACCAAUCGUGCCCCCGCUCAAGGUGUCAAAAGACAUCGUCGCUAAUGAUCCGGAUAUGGUGCCCGGUUAUACCGAUCUUGGAGAUUACCUGCCCGACGAUGUACAUUAUGAAAUCAUGGAGGUGGGCGAACACAAAUACCAUUACGGGAAGCCUCUCGUCAAAGAUGUCAAAUCUCUAA
This 2463-nucleotide ribosomal RNA is filed under the name Triticum aestivum (bread wheat). RNAcentral describes it as "partial small subunit ribosomal RNA". The record is from RNAcentral. Lineage: Eukaryota; Viridiplantae; Streptophyta; Magnoliopsida; Poales; Poaceae.